CGUCACGAAAACUAUUCCUAGUCAUAUUCGACGUUUGAUUGUUCGUCUUAUUUAAAUUCUUUUAUGAUUAGUAUUUUUGUUGCUAUUAGAUGAUAAAACAUAAAUAGUACUUUAUGUGUGACUAAUUUUUUAAAAUUUUACAUAUUUUUUUAAAAUAAAAUAAACAGUCAACCGUUAGAUACGGAUACCCAUGGCUACACUUAUU
Oryza glumipatula is the source of this 205-nucleotide non-coding RNA. The record is from Rfam. Lineage: Eukaryota; Viridiplantae; Streptophyta; Magnoliopsida; Poales; Poaceae.